RNAcentral lists this unclassified non-coding RNA (402 nucleotides) under soil metagenome. Its description in RNAcentral is "partial contains 5.8S ribosomal RNA, internal transcribed spacer 2, and large subunit ribosomal RNA". The stretch from base 1 to 121 matches the Rfam family "5.8S ribosomal RNA", at positions 35 to 154 of the family's 154-position model. The record is from RNAcentral.
GAUGAAGAACGCAUCGAAAUGCGAUAAGUAAUGUGAAUUGCAGAAUUCAGUGAAUCAUCGAAUCUUUGAACGCACCUUGCGCCCUUUGGCUAUUCUGAAGGGCAUGCCUGUUUGAGUAUCAUGAACACCUCAACUCUCAUGGUUUGCCAUGAUGAGCUUGGACUUUGGGGGUCUUGCUGGCCUACGGUCAGCUCCUCUCAAAUGAAUCAGCUUGCCAGUGUUUGGUAGAGUCGCAGGUGUGAUAACUAUCUACGCUUGUGGUUUUCUGCCAGAUAACCUUCAGUGAUGGAGGUUCGCUGGAGCUUAUAAAUGUCUCUCCCCAGUGAGGACAGCUUUUUGAACGUUUGAUCUCAAAUCAGGUAGGACUACCCGCUGAACUUAAGCAUAUCAAUAAGCGGAGGA